CGACUAUCAGCUAUACAGAAACCAAAUAAAACUCGAAUCUCAAAUGGUGAAUUCUUUUUUUUUUUAAAGACUUUAUUUUUUUCCUUUUUCUCCCCAAAGCCCCCAGGUACAUAGCUGUAUAUUCUUCAUUGCGGGUCCUUCUAGUUGUGGCAUGUGGGACGCUACCUCAGCGUGGUUUGAUGAGAAGUGGCCACAUCUGUGCCCAGGAUUCGAACCAACGAAACACUGGGCCGCCUGCAGCGGAGCUCGAGAACUUAACCACUCGGCCACGGGGCCAGCCCCACAAAUGUGUCGACAUUUGCAGUGAUGGUGUAAAAGCACAGUGGAUGAACCUGCUGGUGCCUUAGCAUGAACCAAGGCUGUGUGACCAAAGCACAGCAGUCACUGUAUUCUUUACCACCACUAGGCACUCACGUUAAGAAAGAAAAAGGUAGUUUUACAGAAGAAUGUCCUUGAUAAAGAGUAAAAACUACUUCUUAAGUCUCAACCAUUACAUACACGUCCUUUUCAUAUUCUGAGUGAUAAAAUGGAAGUAUACAUAAAGUACUUCUGACGAAUACUAAAAUAGAAUGGUUGUCUUGAGGAAAAGCAUUAAUGCUAUUAGUGAGUUGUGGGCUAAACUAGCUGCUUUUUUCAUGGAAUGACAUUUUUACUUGAAAGAACUACUUAUUAUUCAAAAUUUGAUGUUUGGCAGACAUUUUCCCAAAAAUAAAUGAAGUGUGCCCGUCACCUCAAGGAAAACAACUAAUGGCAUUUGUCACCAAUGAUAAAAUACAACCUUUCAACUGAAAAUCAGAAUUUUGGAAAACCAAUAUCCACCACUUUUAGCCUGUUACUUUUCCAAUACUUAAAAGAUUUUUCUGAUAAGAUUGGUGUGAUAUUAAAAAAUGUGAUUUUUAAAAAUAUUAUGUCAACAUUUGGAAUACUCAAAUGACCAAUGAAUGAUAUCACAAAAUCUUGCUUAGGUAAAAGACCAAUUCAUUCAAAGUGCAAGGCAGACAAAUGGAUUUUAAUGUUACAGAGGAGAAAAAGUUCGUUGGUAGGAUUUCAGAGUGCC
RNAcentral lists this long non-coding RNA (1057 nucleotides) under Equus asinus (donkey). RNAcentral's name for it is "lncRNA (ENSEASG00005028399.1)". Lineage: Eukaryota; Metazoa; Chordata; Mammalia; Perissodactyla; Equidae. The record is from RNAcentral.